Molecule: transfer RNA, 51 nt
Filed under: Xiphinema rivesi
Lineage: Eukaryota; Metazoa; Nematoda; Enoplea; Dorylaimida; Longidoridae
Description: tRNA-Arg
Source: RNAcentral
AAAAGCAUAGUGUAAUCACACUUGACUUCGAAUCGAGGAAAGAAGCUUUUA